This 775-nucleotide ribosomal RNA is filed under the name Burkholderia pseudomallei. Its description in RNAcentral is "bacterial LSU rRNA". It matches the Rfam family "Bacterial large subunit ribosomal RNA", at positions 1 to 815 of the family's 2925-position model. The record is from RNAcentral. Lineage: Bacteria; Pseudomonadati; Pseudomonadota; Betaproteobacteria; Burkholderiales; Burkholderiaceae.
GUUAUAGGGUCAAGCGAACAAGUGCAUGUGGUGGAUGCCUUGGCGAUCACAGGCGAUGAAGGACGCGGUAGCCUGCGAAAAGCUACGGGGAGCUGGCAAACGAGCUUUGAUCCGUAGAUGUCCGAAUGGGGAAACCCGGCCCUUUUGGGUCAUCCUAGACUGAAUACAUAGGUCUAGUGAGGCGAACGCGGUGAACUGAAACAUCUAAGUAACCGCAGGAAAAGAAAUCAACCGAGAUUCCCAAAGUAGUGGCGAGCGAAAUGGGAAGAGCCUGUACUCUUUAUUUGUAUUGUUAGCCGAACGCUCUGGAAAGUGCGGCCAUAGCAGGUGAUAGCCCUGUAGGCGAAAACAGUAUGAAAGAACUAGGUGUACGACAAGUAGGGCGGGACACGUGAAAUCCUGUCUGAAGAUGGGGGGACCAUCCUCCAAGGCUAAAUACUCGUGAUCGACCGAUAGUGAACCAGUACCGUGAGGGAAAGGCGAAAAGAACCCCGGGAGGGGAGUGAAAUAGAUCCUGAAACCGCAUGCAUACAAACAGUCGGAGCCUCGCAAGGGGUGACGGCGUACCUUUUGUAUAAUGGGUCAGCGACUUACGUUCAGUAGCAAGCUUAACCGAAUAGGGCAGGCGUAGCGAAAGCGAGUCCGAAUAGGGCGUUCAGUUGCUGGGCGUAGACCCGAAACCAGGUGAUCUAUCCAUGGCCAGGAUGAAGGUGCGGUAACACGUACUGGAGGUCCGAACCCACUAACGUUGAAAAGUUAGGGGAUGAGCUGUGGA